Molecule: ribosomal RNA, 401 nt
Filed under: Bacillus thuringiensis
Lineage: Bacteria; Bacillati; Bacillota; Bacilli; Caryophanales; Bacillaceae
Description: bacterial SSU rRNA
Rfam family: Bacterial small subunit ribosomal RNA
Source: RNAcentral
GAGCAGAGUGACAGGUGGUGCAUGGUUGUCGUCAGCUCGUGUCGUGAGAUGUUGGGUUAAGUCCCGCAACGAGCGCAACCCUUGAUCUUAGUUGCCAUCAUUUAGUUGGGCACUCUAAGGUGACUGCCGGUGACAAACCGGAGGAAGGUGGGGAUGACGUCAAAUCAUCAUGCCCCUUAUGACCUGGGCUACACACGUGCUACAAUGGACGGUACAAAGAGCUGCAAGACCGCGAGGUGGAGCUAAUCUCAUAAAACCGUUCUCAGUUCGGAUUGUAGGCUGCAACUCGCCUACAUGAAGCUGGAAUCGCUAGUAAUCGCGGAUCAGCAUGCCGCGGUGAAUACGUUCCCGGGCCUGUACACACCGCCCGUCACACCACGAGAUUUAGUAACUCCGAAGUC